Molecule: ribosomal RNA, 404 nt
Filed under: uncultured bacterium
Lineage: Bacteria
Description: bacterial SSU rRNA
Rfam family: Bacterial small subunit ribosomal RNA
Source: RNAcentral
AACGAACGCUGGCGGCGCGCCUAACACAUGCAAGUCGAACGCGAAAGUGUAGCAAUACAUGAGUAAAGUGGCGCACGGGUGAGUAACGCGUAGGUGAUCUACCUUUGUGAUCGGGAUAACCAGCCGAAAGGUUGGCUAAUACUGGAUAGAGCGCAUUUAUCGUAAAGAUGAGUGCGGGAAAUGAGGGCGUAGCAAUACGCUCUUGCACUAAGAUGAGCCUGCGUCUCAUUAGCUAGUUGGUAGGGUAAAGGCCUACCAAGGCAUUGAUGGGUAGCUGGUCUGAGAGGACGAUCAGCCACACUGGAACUGAAACACGGUCCAGACUCCUACGGGAGGCAGCAGUGGGGAAUCUUGCGCAAUGGACGAAAGUCUGACGCAGCGACGCCGCGUGAGUGAAGAAGGCC